Long non-coding RNA from Fundulus heteroclitus (mummichog), 769 nucleotides. RefSeq lists it as uncharacterized. The record is from RefSeq and is a predicted model, not a curated record. The transcript is spliced from 2 exons. NCBI's taxonomy places the organism in Eukaryota, Metazoa, Chordata, Actinopteri, Cyprinodontiformes, Fundulidae.
AGAGUUCCGGCGGGUCACUUCCUGUCUAUGGCGAGCUUGCUGAAAAGAGACUCAUGCAGCUACGUCGUCUCAAAUUACUCGUAAAUAUGACUUCGAAGAAGACUGGUGUAAAAGAAAGGUUUACGUGGAGUGUUUUGAUCAUCAACCGUGAACGAGAGCUGCGGAUGUGAGGCGCCCUACUUCCUUCAGCCGAAGAACGAGAAAUCCCUCCGCCUGUGGUUAAAAGCUGUAAGUCUGAAGAAACCACCGAAGCGACCGUAUUUUUUUCAUUUUGUAGACAAAAGACCGACAGAAGACCAACUAUGCCAGAAAAGUGGCUGGGCUACGAAGUUGCAUUAAAAACUCCAAGGUGAUAAAGAGGAGAGCAGAAAGAUGACAGCCACUGUGAUGCAGAGGAUGACCGGACUGCUCCAUAAUCAGUCACAUAUGAAUAAAAAUGCUGUUACUACAGGCACUGAUGAUCACACCUACGAGAAAAGAAGUAGAAGGAUGUAUGUGGCUGGCUUCCUGGAGUAUCUUGGUUCUGGCGAUGAAGUAACGGCAGACAGAGGCUUUACCAUCAGAGAUCUGCUGUUUGAGAGAUUUAACCUUGUUCUACCAGCAUUCACUCAUAAAAGGAGGACGGUUGUCUGAUGAGGAUGUAACUGCCACAAGGAUUGCAGAUGUCCACAUACAUGUGUGAAGAGUUAUCAGGAGGCUCAAAGUUUUCACAAUAAUCUCCCAGACUGUAACCAUCAGCUUCAAUAUAAAAUGGACAAAAUCUUUCGAA